AGGACGAACGCUGGCGGCGUGCCUAACACAUGCAAGUCGAACGAGGUUCAGUCAGUAGCAAUACUGACGAAGACCUAGUGGCGAACGGGUGAGUAGCACGUGAGCAACCUACCCCGAAGACCGGGACAACACCGGGAAACCGGUGCUAAUACCGGAUAUCCCCAUCGAGUCGCAUGGCUUGAUGAGGAAAUGGAUUCCGCUUCGGGAGGGGCUCGCGGCCUAUCAGCUUGUUGGUGAGGUAACGGCUCACCAAGGCUUCGACGGGUAGCUGGUCUGAGAGGACGAUCAGCCACACUGGGACUGAGACACGGCCCAGACUCCUACGGGAGGCAGCAGUGGGGAAUCUUGCACAAUGGGCGAAAGCCUGAUGCAGCAACGCCGCGUGAGGGACGAAGGCUUUCUGAGUUGUAAACCUCUUUCAGCAGGGACGAUGAUGACGGUACUGCAGAAGAGCCCGGCAACUACGCGCCAGCAGCCG
RNAcentral lists this ribosomal RNA (478 nucleotides) under uncultured bacterium. RNAcentral's name for it is "SSU rRNA". It matches the Rfam family "Bacterial small subunit ribosomal RNA", at positions 26 to 517 of the family's 1533-position model. The record is from RNAcentral.